GUGAGAAUCCCGUAUGUGACCGGUGACCAACCCCAUGUGAAACUCCUUCGACGAGUCGAGUUGUUUGGGAAUGCAGCUCAAAAUGGGUGGUAUAUUUCAUCUAAAGCUAAAUACCGGCCAGAGACCGAUAGCGCACAAGUAGAGUGAUCGAAAGAUGAAAAGCACUUUGGAAAGAGAGUCAAAAAGUACGUGAAAUUGUUGAAAGGGAAGCGCUCGCAACCAGACCUGCCCGCGGCCGAUCAACCGUCCUUCUGGGCGGUGCACUCGGUCGCGAUCAGGCCAGCAUCGGUUCGGGCGGCCGGAUAAAGGCCCCGGGAACGUAGCUCCUUUCGGGGAGUGUUAUAGCCCGGGGUGCAAUGCGGCCAGCCUGGACCGAGGACCGCGCUUCGGCUAGGAUGCUGGCGUAAUGGUUGUGAGCGGCCCGUCUUGAAACACGGACCAAGGAGUCUAACAUCUAUGCGAGUGUUUGGGUGUCAAACCCAUGCGCGUAAUGAAAGUGAACGGAGGUGGGAACCCUUGCGGGCGCACCAUCGACCGAUCCAGAUGUCUUCGGAUGGAUUUGAGUACGAGCAUAGCUGUUGGGACCCGAAAGAUGGUGAACUAUGCCAGAAUAGGGUGAAGCCAGAGGAAACUCUGGUGGAGGCUCGCAGCGGUUCUGACGUGCAAAUCGAUCGUCAAAUUUUGGCAUAGGGGCGAAAGACUAAUCGAACCAUU
RNAcentral lists this ribosomal RNA (714 nucleotides) under Caloplaca concreticola. RNAcentral's name for it is "LSU rRNA". It matches the Rfam family "Eukaryotic large subunit ribosomal RNA", at positions 212 to 944 of the family's 3401-position model. The record is from RNAcentral. Lineage: Eukaryota; Fungi; Ascomycota; Lecanoromycetes; Teloschistales; Teloschistaceae.